Molecule: ribosomal RNA, 502 nt
Filed under: Psora decipiens
Lineage: Eukaryota; Fungi; Ascomycota; Lecanoromycetes; Lecanorales; Psoraceae
Description: LSU rRNA
Rfam family: Eukaryotic large subunit ribosomal RNA
Source: RNAcentral
GAAGCGGCAACAGCUCAAAUUUGAAAUCUGACCCUUUGGGGUCCGAGUUGUAAUUUGCAGAGGGUGUUUCGGGCACGGUGCCGGUUUAAGUCCUUUGGAACAGGGUGUCAUAGAGGGUGAGAACCCCGUAUGUGACCGGUCGCCAAACCUAUGUGAAACCCCUUCGACGAGUCGAGUUGUUUGGGAAUGCAGCUCAAAAUGGGUGGUAAAUUUCAUCUAAAGCUAAAUAUUGGCCAGAGACCGAUAGCGCACAAGUAGAGUGAUCGAAAGAUGAAAAGCACUUUGGAAAGAGAGUCAAACAGCACGUGAAAUUGUUGAAAGGGAAGCGCUUGCGACCAGACCUGCUCGCGGGUGAUCAGCGGUGCUUUUCGCGCCGUGCACUCAUCCGCGAUCAGGCCAGCAUCGGUUCAGGCGGCCGGACAAAGACUCGGAGAAUGUAGCUCCCUCCGGGGAGUGUUAUAGCUCCUUGUGCAAUACGGCCAGCCGGGACCGAGGACCGCGC